RNAcentral lists this long non-coding RNA (371 nucleotides) under Panax ginseng (ginseng). RNAcentral describes it as "long non-coding RNA (PGIN_LNC018725)". The record is from RNAcentral. Lineage: Eukaryota; Viridiplantae; Streptophyta; Magnoliopsida; Apiales; Araliaceae.
AAGAAUUAAAUUAAGAGAAAAUUAAUUAUAUUUAAAUUUGAUAUAUCUAACAAGAAGAUGAAAGAAGAAAAAGGGGAAUGGAAGAGAAGAGAAGAAGGGCGGUUAAGAAUUCCCAGUCCCAACAAUAGAAACCCAACACGGCUCCACAGUUCAUGAGAAAGUAAUGCAAAUUAACCAAUCAAUUCGCCUCCCUAGCUAUAUUUUUGGAAAUAUAUGCUUGAAAAGUUUCUCUAUAUGUGUGCAUGUUUACCUCUUCUUUUAUAUAUAUAUAUAUAGUCCAGCCGCCAGAAGAAGGGAAUUGAUUAUACAUGGCAAUUCUCAAUGGUGAAAUUUUGUUCGGGUCUACUCUUAAAAUUUUGAUUUAGUAGGUG